Molecule: ribosomal RNA, 257 nt
Filed under: uncultured bacterium
Lineage: Bacteria
Description: partial 16S ribosomal RNA
Source: RNAcentral
CUGCUGCCUUCCGUAGGAGUUUGGGCCGUGUCUCAGUCCCAAUGUGGCCGGUCACCCUCUCAGGUCGGCUACUGAUCGUCGCCUUGGUGGGCUGUUAUCUCACCAACUAGCUAAUCAGAUGCGGGCCCAUCCUGCACCGAAUAAAUCCCUUCUUUCCCGGAAGAUGCCUCCCAGGAACCGUAUGCGGUAUUAGUCAUCGUUUCCAAUGAUUAUUCCCCAGUGCAGGGCAGGUUGCCCACACGUUACUCACCCGUCCG